UACGGGGGGGGUAAGCGUUGUUCGGAAUUACUGGGCGUAAAGGGCUCGUAGGCGGCCAACUAAGUCAGACGUGAAAUCCCUCGGCUUAACCGGGGAACUGCGUCUGAUACUGGAAGGCUCGAGUUUGGGAGAGGGAUGCGGAAUUCCAGGUGUAGCGGUGAAAUGCGUAGAUAUCUGGAGGAACACCGGUGGCGAAGGCGGCAUCCUGGACCAACACUGACGCUGAUGAGCGAAAGCCAGGGGAGCAAACGGG
RNAcentral lists this ribosomal RNA (253 nucleotides) under uncultured bacterium. RNAcentral's name for it is "partial 16S ribosomal RNA". It matches the Rfam family "Bacterial small subunit ribosomal RNA", at positions 524 to 776 of the family's 1533-position model. The record is from RNAcentral.